This 74-nucleotide transfer RNA is filed under the name Seleniivibrio woodruffii. It matches the Rfam family "tRNA". From Rfam's summary of the family: Transfer RNA (tRNA) molecules are approximately 80 nucleotides in length. Their secondary structure includes four short double-helical elements and three loops (D, anti-codon, and T loops). RNAcentral also lists the same sequence under 2 other names. Lineage: Bacteria; Pseudomonadati; Deferribacterota; Deferribacteres; Deferribacterales; Geovibrionaceae. The record is from Rfam by way of RNAcentral.
GGGGGCGUAGUUCAGUUGGUUAGAACGCUGGCCUGUCACGUCAGAGGUCGAGGGUUCGAGUCCCUUCGUCCCCG